Molecule: long non-coding RNA, 382 nt
Filed under: Vigna radiata
Lineage: Eukaryota; Viridiplantae; Streptophyta; Magnoliopsida; Fabales; Fabaceae
Description: long non-coding RNA (VRAD_LNC013786)
Source: RNAcentral
CACACUAACAUUUAUCUGUCAUUUCAAAUUUAUUUCCCAUCUACACCUGAGUUUAUGCAAUAACUGCAUUUAUAAUAAAAUGACAAUGGCAGUACUUUAUUUAAUAUAAGUAUAAUAAGAAUGUACUAAAAAUUAAAUUAAUGCAUGGCCAGAAACUCAACUAAUACAUUACUGUGAUGCAUGACAUUCCAAAUUGUUCAUAUUUAUACGACAGUGAAUAAUGCAGCCAACCUUAUGCCAGCCAACUAUUCAUAGUAAAAUUUAAAUACAGGGAGCCAGGUUAUUAAUUUAGCAUUAAUUUAAAGGUGAUUUUGCCUUCUGUUUUUCAAUUUCACACCCUUCAAUACUUUAUUUUAUUCAACAUAUCUAUCUAUCUAUCUAU